Molecule: long non-coding RNA, 848 nt
Organism: Callithrix jacchus (white-tufted-ear marmoset)
Lineage: Eukaryota; Metazoa; Chordata; Mammalia; Primates; Cebidae
Source: RefSeq, a predicted model, not a curated record
CAUGCCCUUUGGGGAUCUGGGAAGCCAAGAGGGAGACAAGUGAAAUGCAAAUGAUAAUCUGUAUGGUUCAUGACAACACUGCCGGGGGCAGAAAUGUUCCAAAACACACCAGCUUAACCCACAGGCCUGUUACGUGUAAAAGCAAGCCAUCCAGAUAACUCCCUUGAUGCACUGCUGGGAGGCCUUCUUGCAGACUGAGUACAUCAUACAAGAAGCAGACACAUCCAGCGUCUACUCUGAAUCAGCUGCAGAGGAAUGCUUGGAUGUAAAUGGCUGUCACCCUCUCAUCUCAGUAACUUUCAGAAUGUAAAAGCAGCAGAAUGAAAUGAAACUUACACCAUUUCAGAUGAGAACAGCUAAGGAAGCAAAAAACUUGGCAGGGAUCUAUCGCUUCAUGAGAACCAUGUUCUUGUCUGCCUUUAAUUCCACUCUAACUUCCACAAAAUAAAUAGCCCACAGAAGUCAAGCCCCUCAACUCUCACCCUGACAGCGUUUGCAGGCUGCAGCCACUCGCAGAGCAGCCCUGGGUGCUGUGCCCCAAGGGAUCCUCAGGUGCAGCCGAACUGGCAUCUUGCAGACUCAGAGUCCAUCAUACUACCUAAGUUUACUCCCCUGCAGAUGUGGCCAGCUUGUCCUUUGAGUUCACUGAGGAGUAACAUCCACUUACUGACAGGGUCUUGCUAUGGUACUCAGACUGCUCUCAAACUCCUGGGCUCAAGAAAUCUUCUUGCCUAAGCCUCCCAAAGUGCUGGGACUAUAGCUCAGCCACCACACUGGGUGCUUCAGAACUCGUUCACCUCAUAAAACAAACUCUGUACCCCAUAUAUCCAUUAAAUAACUGGCAACCA